This 218-nucleotide non-coding RNA is filed under the name Bacillus solimangrovi. RNAcentral describes it as "T-box sequence". It matches the Rfam family "T-box leader". From Rfam's summary of the family: Uncharged tRNA acts as the effector for transcription antitermination of genes in the T-box leader family. T-boxes are found upstream of many aminoacyl-tRNA synthetase genes and some amino acid biosynthetic genes usually in Gram-positive bacteria. The anticodon of a specific tRNA base pairs to a specifier sequence within the T-box motif, and the NCCA acceptor tail of the tRNA base pairs to a conserved bulge in the T-box antiterminator hairpin. Lineage: Bacteria; Bacillati; Bacillota; Bacilli; Caryophanales; Bacillaceae. The record is from RNAcentral.
UAUUAGGCGUUGAGAGGAAAGAGUAGUAUUUGUCUCCCUGUAACUAAGAGACCUAGUGGUUGGUGUAAACUAGGACAAAGGCAAUAUACGAAUUACGACCUUGAGCUUCUUUUGAGAAAGUUGAGUAACGAAAGACGGCUUCAGACCGUUAUCUGAUUGAAGUGGAAGACUAAGGUUCUUCAAAAAGGGUGGUACCGCGGGCAUGUCCCGUCCCUUCU